AUGAUGGAUUUCAGAUCAGGACUGUUUAUUUUUGCCCUCUGUUUUAUAGGUGUUAAAGGCCAGACUCUGAUUGAAUCUGAAUCAGUGGUUAAAAUACCUGGAGAAUCCCACAAACUGACCUGUACAGCCUCAGGAUUCACAUUCAGUGACCACUGGAUGCAUUGGGUCAGACAGUCUCCUGGGAAAGGACUGGAGUGGGUUGCAGGCAUUAGUUAUUAUGGUGACAGCACAUACUACUUUCAAUCAGUCCAAGGCAGGUUCACCAUCUCCAGAGACAACAACAAACAGCAGCUGUAUCUGCAGAUGAACAGCCUGAAGACUGAAGAUUCUGCUGUUUAUUUCUGCGUUCGAGACACACAAUGA
Non-coding RNA from Poeciliopsis prolifica (blackstripe livebearer), 363 nucleotides. The record is from the annotation of a RefSeq genome assembly. NCBI's taxonomy places the organism in Eukaryota, Metazoa, Chordata, Actinopteri, Cyprinodontiformes, Poeciliidae.